CAGCACUGUCCAAGGCAGGAAAGGCGGUCCAAAUGUCCAUGAUGGCAAAAAGAGAGAAAAGGGGACCACUACACAGGCCUCUCUAAUCAAGGAGGAAAUUGUCCCAGAGACCCCAGCAGCUUUCCUCCAAAUGUCUUCUGGGCCAGAACAGGGUCACAUGCAUACCUCAGGACCCAUCACCAGCCGAGGGGGUGGCCAAGACCAAUCAUGACCAAAGCCCUGGCCCUAGAACAAAACUGGGGUUUAGUUAUAGAAGAAGACAGGUGAGGGCUGUUGCUUGAGCAGCCAACAGUGUCUGCCACCCUGCAGAAAGCCCGAAGAAGUGAGAGUUUGUCUAGGCAAGGGUCACAAGAGUGGAACCAGCUUCUGCUCACUCGACCCUCCAAUGCACACGUGCAGGAUGAAGCAUUUACACAAGCACCGGCGCUUCAAGACGGCAGCAUGUAAAGAAGGGUACGCAGAAAUCAUGAGGCAAAGCCCCCACGGCGGACGCAAGACAACUCUGCAGAAUCUGAAUUCUAUGAUCAAAGA
Mustela erminea (ermine) is the source of this 531-nucleotide long non-coding RNA. RefSeq lists it as uncharacterized. The transcript has 3 exons. The record is from RefSeq and is a predicted model, not a curated record. Lineage: Eukaryota; Metazoa; Chordata; Mammalia; Carnivora; Mustelidae.